Molecule: ribosomal RNA, 522 nt
Filed under: uncultured Acidobacteriota bacterium
Lineage: Bacteria; Pseudomonadati; Acidobacteriota
Description: bacterial SSU rRNA
Rfam family: Bacterial small subunit ribosomal RNA
Source: RNAcentral
UGACGACGCAACGCCGCGUGGAGGAUGAAGAUCUUCGGGUCGUAAACUCCUUUCGAUCGAGACGAAUUCCUCUGGGGUGAAUAAUCCCGGAGGUUGACGGUACCGAGAGAAGAAGCCCCGGCUAACUCCGUGCCAGCAGCCGCGGUAAUACGGGGGGGGCAAGCGUUGUUCGGAAUUACUGGGCGUAAAGGGCUCGUAGGUGGCCAACUAAGUCAGACGUGAAAUCCCUCGGCUUAACCGGGGAACUGCGUCUGAUACUGGUUGGCUUGAAUCCGGGAGAGGGAUGCGGAAUUCCAGGUGUAGCGGUGAAAUGCGUAGAUAUCUGGAGGAACACCGGUGGCGAAGGCGGCAUCCUGGACCGGCAUUGACGCUGAGGAGCGAAAGCCAGGGGAGCAAACGGGAUUAGAUACCCCGGUAGUCCUGGCCCUAAACGAUGAAUGCUUGGUGUGGCGGGUAUCGAUCCCUGCCGUGCCGAAGCUAACGCAUUAAGCAUUCCGCCUGGGGAGUACGGUCGCAAGGCUG